AGCUCAGUGGUAUUAUUGUGUUGAUGACCAAGACUCCACAGUUCAACUCAGAAUGAGGCGCCCUGCUCAGCUCUUCUGGCUGCUAAUGCUCUGGAUCCCUGGAUCCAGUGGAGACGUUGUGUUGACACAGACUCCAACCUCCUUGCUUGUUGUUCCUGGAGAAUCAGCGUCUAUCUCUUGCAGGUCUAGUCGGAGCCUCUUACAUAGUAAUGGAAACACGUAUUUGAGUUGGUUCAUACAGAAGCCAGGCCAGUCUCCACGGCACCUGAUCUAUAUAAUUUCUAAUCGGAAUUCUGGGGUCCCAGACAGGUUCAGCGGCACUGGGUCAGGGACAGAUUUCACUCUCAAAAUCAGCAGAGUAGAGCCUGAAGACUUUGGCGUUUAUUACUGUUAUCAAGGUACACAUGAUCCUCCCACAGUGGUACAGCCCUUAACAGAAACUCCCCUGCUUGGUGUGGCCCAGCUGCCCUCCUGUGUGGCUUGUCUGGGGAGCAGCACAGCAGGUUCUCUGAGCCUGUGCAGGAGGCAGAGUUUCUAUGACUCAGUGGAGCAUGUUACAGAGGCGGCAUCUGCUCAAGCAUCUUUUUUACUCCACUCUGGGGCCACCAUAAUGUGA
Molecule: non-coding RNA, 616 nt
Organism: Nannospalax galili (Upper Galilee mountains blind mole rat)
Lineage: Eukaryota; Metazoa; Chordata; Mammalia; Rodentia; Spalacidae
Source: the annotation of a RefSeq genome assembly